GCCCCUAUAGUAUAAUGGAUCAGAAUGCAGGUUUGCGGAACCUGAGAUCUGGGUUCGAUUCCCAGUGGGGGCA
RNAcentral lists this transfer RNA (73 nucleotides) under Candidatus Diapherotrites archaeon CG08_land_8_20_14_0_20_34_12. RNAcentral describes it as "tRNA-Arg". It matches the Rfam family "tRNA". Rfam says of the family: Transfer RNA (tRNA) molecules are approximately 80 nucleotides in length. Their secondary structure includes four short double-helical elements and three loops (D, anti-codon, and T loops). Lineage: Archaea; Nanobdellati; Candidatus Iainarchaeota. The record is from RNAcentral.